UACGUAGGGUGCGAGCGUUGUCCGGAUUUAUUGGGCGUAAAGGGCUCGUAGGCGGUUUGUCGCGUCGGGUGUGAAAUCCCCUGGCUUAACUGGUGGCUUGCGUUCGAUACGGGCAGACUGGAGGUAUGCAGGGGAAAACGGAAUUCCUGGUGUAGCGGUGAAAUGCGCAGAUAUCAGGAGGAACACCGGUGGCGAAGGCGGUGCUCUGGGCAUGUCCUGACGCUGAGGAGCGAAAGUGUGGGGAGCGAACAGG
This 253-nucleotide ribosomal RNA is filed under the name uncultured bacterium. RNAcentral's name for it is "partial 16S ribosomal RNA". It matches the Rfam family "Bacterial small subunit ribosomal RNA", at positions 524 to 776 of the family's 1533-position model. The record is from RNAcentral.